GAGCUUUGGCAGCACACAUACUAAAAUUGGAAUGAUACAAAGAUGAGCAUGGCCCCUGCACAAAGUGACACACAAAUUCGCGAAGUGUUCCAUAUUUUU
This 99-nucleotide small nuclear RNA is filed under the name Vulpes vulpes (red fox). The record is from RNAcentral. Lineage: Eukaryota; Metazoa; Chordata; Mammalia; Carnivora; Canidae.